RNAcentral lists this ribosomal RNA (492 nucleotides) under uncultured bacterium. Its description in RNAcentral is "bacterial SSU rRNA". It matches the Rfam family "Bacterial small subunit ribosomal RNA", at positions 903 to 1397 of the family's 1533-position model. The record is from RNAcentral.
AAAGGAAUUGACGGGGGCCCGCACAAGCGGCGGAGCAUGCGGAUUAAUUCGAUGCAACGCGAAGAACCUUACCUGGGUUUGACAUAUGCCGGAAACAUCUAGAGAUAGGUGCCCCGCAAGGUCGGUAUACAGGUGGUGCAUGGCUGUCGUCAGCUCGUGUCGUGAGAUGUUGGGUUAAGUCCCGCAACGAGCGCAACCCUCGUUCUAUGUUGCCAGCGGUUCGGCCGGGAACUCAUAGAAGACUGCCGGGGUCAACUCGGAGGAAGGUGGGGAUGACGUCAAGUCAUCAUGCCCCUUAUGUCCAGGGCUUCACGCAUGCUACAAUGGCUGGUACAAAGGGCUGCGAUAUCGCAAGAUGGAGCGAAUCCCAUAAAGCCAGUCUCAGUUCGGAUUGGGGUCUGCAACUCGACCCCAUGAAGUCGGAGUCGCUAGUAAUCGCAGAUCAGCAACGCUGCGGUGAAUACGUUCCCGGGCCUUGUACACACCGCCCGU